UGCCAGCAGCCGCGGUAAUACGAAGGGUGCUAGCGUUGUUCGGAAUUACUGGGCGUAAAGAGCUCGUAGGCGGUUCGGUAAGUCGGGUGUGAAAACUCUGGGCUCAACCCAGAGACGCCACUCGAUACUGCUGUGACUUGAGUACGGUAGGGGAGCGGGGAAUUCCUGGUGUAGCGGUGAAAUGCGCAGAUAUCAGGAGGAACACCAGUGGCGAAGGCGCCGCUCUGGGCCGUAACUGACGCUGAGGAGCGAAAGCAUGGGUAGCAAACAGGAUUAGAUA
Molecule: ribosomal RNA, 280 nt
Filed under: uncultured bacterium
Lineage: Bacteria
Description: partial 16S ribosomal RNA
Rfam family: Bacterial small subunit ribosomal RNA
Source: RNAcentral